RNAcentral lists this ribosomal RNA (300 nucleotides) under Thraustochytriidae sp. RNAcentral's name for it is "SSU rRNA". It matches the Rfam family "Eukaryotic small subunit ribosomal RNA", at positions 1304 to 1610 of the family's 1831-position model. Lineage: Eukaryota; Bigyra; Thraustochytrida; Thraustochytriidae. The record is from RNAcentral.
GGGCGAUUUGUCUGGUUAAUUCCGUUAACGAACGGGACCACAGCCUACUAAAUAGUACGUGUUAUGGUAACAUAGUAUGAGACUUCUUAGAGGGACAUUUCGGGUUUACCGAAAGAAAGUUUGUGGCAAUAACAGGUCUGUGAUGCCCUUAGAUGUUCUGGGCCGCACGCGCGCUACACUGACGACUUCAACAAGUUUUUUUCUUUGAAAAAGUCCUUGGCUGGAAAGUCUGGGUAAUCUUUUAAAUGGUCAUCGUGAUGGGGCUAGAUUCUUGCAAUUAUUAAUCUCCAACGAGGAACC